Molecule: ribosomal RNA, 494 nt
Filed under: uncultured bacterium
Lineage: Bacteria
Description: partial 16S ribosomal RNA
Rfam family: Bacterial small subunit ribosomal RNA
Source: RNAcentral
GACGAACGCUGGCGGCGUGCCUAAUACAUGCAAGUAGAACGCUGAAGGAGGAGCUUGCUUCUCUGGAUGAGUUGCGAACGGGUGAGUAACGCGUAGGUAACCUGCCUGGUAGCGGGGGAUAACUAUUGGAAACGAUAGCUAAUACCGCAUAAUAGUAGAUGUUGCAUGACAUUUGCUUAAAAGGUGCAAUUGCAUCACUACCAGAUGGACCUGCGUUGUAUUAGCUAGUUGGUGGGGUAACGGCUCACCAAGGCGACGAUACAUAGCCGACCUGAGAGGGUGAUCGGCCACACUGGGACUGAGACACGGCCAGACUCCUACGGGAGGCAGCAGUAGGGAAUCUUCGGCAAUGGACGGAAGUCUGACCGAGCAACGCCGCGUGAGUGAAGAAGGUUUUCGGAUCGUAAAGCUCUGUUGUAAGAGAAGAACGAGUGUGAGAGUGGAAAGUUCACACUGUGACGGUAGCUUACCAGAAAGGGACGGCUAACUACGUG